AACGAACGCUGGCGGCAUGCCUAACACAUGCAAGUCGAACGAGACCUUCGGGUCUAGUGGCGCACGGGUGCGUUACGCGUGGGAAUCCGCCCUUGGGUUCGGAAUAACACAGAGAAAUUUGUGCUAAUACCGGAUGCCGUCUUCUGACCGAAAAUAUAUAGCCCAGGGAUGAGCCCGCGUAAGAUUAGGUAGUUGGUGGGGUAAUGGCCUACCAAGCCGACGAGCUUUAACUGGUCUGAGAGGAUGAUCAGCCACACUGGGACUGAGACACGGCCCAGACUCCGACGUGAGGCAGCAGUGGGGAAUAGUGGACAAUGGGCGCAAGCAUGAUCCAGCAAUGCCGCGUGAGUGAUGAAGGCCUUAGGGUUGUAAAGCUCUUUUACCCGGGAUGAUAAUGACAGUACCGGGAGAAUAAGCUCCGGCUAACUCCGUGCCAGCAGCCGCAGUAA
Molecule: ribosomal RNA, 449 nt
Filed under: uncultured bacterium
Lineage: Bacteria
Description: partial 16S ribosomal RNA
Rfam family: Bacterial small subunit ribosomal RNA
Source: RNAcentral